GCUGUGAGGCGUUGAGCUAACCAAUACUAAUUGCCCGUGAGGCUUGACCAUA
Molecule: ribosomal RNA, 52 nt
Filed under: Stutzerimonas kunmingensis
Lineage: Bacteria; Pseudomonadati; Pseudomonadota; Gammaproteobacteria; Pseudomonadales; Pseudomonadaceae
Description: Pseudomonas kunmingensis 23S rRNA. Bacterial LSU
Source: RNAcentral